Molecule: ribosomal RNA, 491 nt
Filed under: uncultured bacterium
Lineage: Bacteria
Description: partial 16S ribosomal RNA
Rfam family: Bacterial small subunit ribosomal RNA
Source: RNAcentral
AGUGAACGCUGGCGGCAGGCCUAACACAUGCAAGUCGAACGGCAGAACAGUAAUAGCUUGCCCUUACGGGGGGCGAGGGGCGGACGGGUGAGGAAUACAUCCGUAGCUAUGUUUUCGAGCGGGAUAAAGUAGGGAAAAUUACGCUAAUACCCCAUAGGACCAACGGGUGAAAGCAGGGGAUCUUCGGACAUUGCGCGAUUCAAUGAGCCGAUGUCGGAUUAGCUAGUUGGAGGGGUAACGGCGCACCAAGCCGACGAUCGGUAGCUGGUCUGAGAGGGUAAGCAGCCACACUGGACCAGAGACACGGUCCGAACCCCUACGGAAGGCAGCGGGGGGGAGUAUUGGACAAUGGGGGCAAGCCUGAUCCAGCCUGACCGCGUGGGUGAAGAAGGCCUCCGGGUGGUAAAGCCCUUUUGUUGGGAAAGAGAAGCAGCAGGUUAAUACCUCGCUGUUCUGAGGGAACCCAAGAAAAAGGCACGGCCAAACUCGGG